AGUUCAGUCAUUGUGAUGGAGCCGUGGACGCUAGACCAACGCUUGUACGCGUAUGACGUAUCCGUGUGCGAAAUGCGAAUACGUAACUGCUGUUCGCGAGAUUUCCGCCGUAAUAUUCAUCGCAAUAUUGCGAUGGGUAAUCAACCUUGAAUAUUGAAGAAAAAUGCACCGGGUCCCCAACGAACUGCUAGCACUCCGGAGAACAUUGAUCGAGUAAGGGAAACCUUUGUCAGUAGCCCACGCCGCUAUAAAUUUCCAUCCUUACAAGAUAGCCGUCGUGCAAUAGUGAAAAACGCAAGAUUCCCAGCGGCGAUUACAAUUUUGUCGUCGAAUGCUUACCAUUUUUGAAGAAAAUUUGAUAUCUUUGCUGAACAUAAUUUGUCGUAAGUGAUAAAACUAAUACGUUACUGUAUAUAAUCAGAAUGGACGAAGAUGGUUGGUGGAAAGAUCCUUAUUUAAUAGUCUGAGAGCCGGCCUCUGAAAAAGGCACCUGUUCGGUUAAAGGACAUAUAUUAUUGAAAAAGAACAGUUAAUGUUUGGACCCAUCUCUCUUCCCAUUCAGUCAAUGGAGUUUAAAAGGCAUUGCAGUCCAUUCAAGUCAUCACGGAGUACAACUGUAUCGUC
This is a long non-coding RNA of Diorhabda carinulata, 624 nucleotides long. RefSeq lists it as uncharacterized. Lineage: Eukaryota; Metazoa; Arthropoda; Insecta; Coleoptera; Chrysomelidae. The transcript has 3 exons. The record is from RefSeq and is a predicted model, not a curated record.